CCAGCGCCCUGGCGCCCCUGCUCCUCCGCGCCCGCCGCGGCGCCCGCAGCCGCUCGGGCCAUUGUUCCGCGGCUGCCAGGGCUGGAGCGGGCUGCCCCUGGGCUUCUGCGCCUCCGUCGUUCCUCUCUGAAGACCUGGCCUCCGCCUCGGAGUGGGAGUGGGUCUGGGAGCUGAGCGCAGAGCUCAGAGCGCCCUCUGUCCCCGCCCGGGCGUCGAGGUCACCCAGCAAGCGCAGAUCGGGGUGAGGCUCUUGGGUUGGUAGGCAGGGAGGGACAGGUGGGCCGGAUGCAGAGGCCGGCAGCUCGCGGGUGAGGCGGCGCCCCGCUCUUCCUAUGGGCUCCUUGGCCCGGUCCGCGCCUCCUCGCAGGCGGACCACCUUUCCUUCCCGGUCCGUGGGGCGCCAUCGCGCGGGGACUUGAGGCACUUGCGUCCUCUGGCGGCUGCAUGGCGCCCCGCAACUCUCCACCUCCGCGUCCUGCCUGUGCUAGGCAGGGCCGCCUUUACUGGUGUGAGGGUUGCUUGAACCCUUGAGGCGCCAGGAAUCCCUAGUACACUGACGCAUGUGCUUCCCAUGAGCCCGACAAGGUCUGGCAGGGGAGAGGCAGUGGUUCCUGAUCUCUGUCACUCUCUGGGUGAACGCAGAGGACACAGUAGUAAUUCCCCUCACCCACAAGCUCCAAGCUACCCUAGAAAACAAAUUGUUUAGCCUCAGGCCAUCGUUUGAGAUCAGGGACCAGGGAAUUAAGUGGACUCUGAGAUCCAUUGCCAUGACAAAAGGGGUAAGAGUCUCAUUGCUUGAGGAAAGAAUACGCCUUAAGUUCACUUUAUGUCUUCUGCCCAUUGCAUGGCAGUUAGGGGA
This 859-nucleotide long non-coding RNA is filed under the name Homo sapiens (human). RNAcentral describes it as "non-protein coding lnc-NUTM1-6:1". The record is from RNAcentral. Lineage: Eukaryota; Metazoa; Chordata; Mammalia; Primates; Hominidae.